UCUUGGUCAUUUAGAGGAAGUAAAAGUCGUAACAAGGUUUCCGUAGGUGAACCUGCGGAAGGAUCAUUAGCGAAUUGUAAUGGGGGUUUGAUGCUGGCUGUCAUCCUUUUGGCUGCAUGUUGCUCGCCCUCAGCAAUCCUUUUCCAAACACCUGUGCAUCUUGUGAGUUCGAGAAAGGGGGAACUCUUUCUUGUCUCAUGAUUCAUAAACGCUGCCUGUAAAUAUUGAAUGCUGUUCGUGCCGUUAAGGCCUUAACCAUAAUACAACUUUUGACAACGGAUCUCUUGGCUCUCGCAUCGAUGAAGAACGCAGCGAAAUGCGAUAAGUAAUGUGAAUUGCAGAAUUCAGUGAAUCAUCGAAUCUUUGAACGCACCUUGCGCUCCCUGGUAUUCCGGAGAGUACGCCUGUUCGAGUGUCGUGAAACUGUCAAGCUAGGAUGCGCUUUUCCUGGCUUGGUUUGUUGGGCUUUGCCAGUGUCCUUUCACUAGGAAACGGGCUGGCCUUAAAAGUAUUAGCUGACUCCAUGUGGUUAUUGGUUUUCUACUCGGCGUGAUAAUUAGAUGACCGCCGGGAAAGUGUCCCUCUGGGGAUCGCCAAUUUUCAUCUGGGUUGCUUCUAAUCUUGGAGCUUCGGUUCCAUUUGUUCAACUUUGACCUCGAAUCAGGUGGGACCACCCGCUGAACUUAAGCAUAUCAAUAA
RNAcentral lists this ribosomal RNA (699 nucleotides) under Clavulina castaneipes. Its description in RNAcentral is "eukaryotic LSU rRNA". The stretch from base 265 to 418 matches the Rfam family "5.8S ribosomal RNA". Lineage: Eukaryota; Fungi; Basidiomycota; Agaricomycetes; Cantharellales; Hydnaceae. The record is from RNAcentral.